GAUGAACGCUGGCGGCGUGCCUAAUACAUGCAAGUCGAGCGAACAGACGAGGAGCUUGCUCCUCUGACGUUAGCGGCGGACGGGUGAGUAACACGUGGAUAACCUACCUAUAAGACUGGGAUAACUUCGGGAAACCGGAGCUAAUACCGGAUAAUAUAUUGAACCGCAUGGUUCAAUAGUGAAAGACGGUUUUGCUGUCACUUAUAGAUGGAUCCGCGCCGCAUUAGCUAGUUGGUAAGGUAACGGCUUACCAAGGCGACGAUGCGUAGCCGACCUGAGAGGGUGAGCGGCCAACAGGGAACUGAGACACGGCCCAGACUCCUAGGGGGGGCAGCAGGAGGGAAUUUUCCGAAAUGGGCGAAAGCCUGACGGGGCAACGCCGGGGGAGGGAUGAAGGUCUUCGGAUCGUAAAACCUUUUUAUUAGGGAAAAAAAAAUGUGUAAGUAACUAUGCACGUCUUGAGGGUACCUAAUCAGAAAGCCACGGCUAACUACGG
RNAcentral lists this ribosomal RNA (496 nucleotides) under uncultured bacterium. Its description in RNAcentral is "partial 16S ribosomal RNA". It matches the Rfam family "Bacterial small subunit ribosomal RNA", at positions 28 to 506 of the family's 1533-position model. The record is from RNAcentral.